Molecule: ribosomal RNA, 466 nt
Filed under: uncultured bacterium
Lineage: Bacteria
Description: bacterial SSU rRNA
Rfam family: Bacterial small subunit ribosomal RNA
Source: RNAcentral
GGACGAACGCUGGCGGCGUGCCUAACACAUGCAAGUCGAACGGGUUACGGAAGCUUGCUUCUGUAACUUAGUGGCGGACUGGUGAGUAACACGUAAGCAACCUGCCUAUUAGAGGGGAAUAACAGUGAGAAAUCAUUGCUAAUACCGCAUAUGCUCACAGUACCACAUGGUACAGUGAGGAAAGGAGUAAUCCGCUAAUAGAUGGGCUUGCGUCUGAUUAGCUAGUUGGUGGGGUAACGGCCUACCAAGGCGACGAUCAGUAGCCGGACUGAGAGGUUGAACGGCCACAUUGGGACUGAGAUACGGCCCAGACUCCUACGGGAGGCAGCAGUCGGGAAUAUUGCGCAAUGGAGGAAACUCUGACGCAGUGACGCCGCGUAUAGGAAGAAGGUUUCGGAUUGUAAACUAUUGUCGUUAGGGAAGAUACAAGACAGUACCUAAGGAGGAAGCCCCGGCUAACUAUGUG